This 338-nucleotide RNase P RNA is filed under the name uncultured Faecousia sp. Its description in RNAcentral is "Bacterial RNase P class A". It matches the Rfam family "Bacterial RNase P class A". From Rfam's summary of the family: Ribonuclease P (RNase P) is a ubiquitous endoribonuclease, found in archaea, bacteria and eukarya as well as chloroplasts and mitochondria. Its best characterised activity is the generation of mature 5'-ends of tRNAs by cleaving the 5'-leader elements of precursor-tRNAs. Cellular RNase Ps are ribonucleoproteins. The record is from RNAcentral. Lineage: Bacteria; Bacillati; Bacillota; Clostridia; Eubacteriales; Oscillospiraceae.
GGGCCGGACAGCCGCGCGGAACGGCCGAAAGGCCCACUGUGAGGAAAGUCCGGGCUCCACAGGGCAAGGAUAACGGGUAACGCCCGCCGAAGGCGACUUCAGGAAAAGUGCAACAGAGAUAUUCCGCUCCGCGUCAGCGGAGCAAGGGUGGAAAAGUGAGGUAAGAGCUCACUCGCCGGCUGGAGACUGUCCGGUGCUGUAAACUCUAUCCGGAGCAACACCGUGGAGGAGACAUUGGCUGGCCCGGCCGUCUCCGGGGAGGUGGCAUGGAGCGUGCCGGCAACGGUACGGCAAGAUAGAUGGCUGUCUAAGACAGAACCCGGCUUACAGACCCGAUU